RNAcentral lists this ribosomal RNA (464 nucleotides) under Vreelandella stevensii. RNAcentral's name for it is "partial 16S ribosomal RNA". It matches the Rfam family "Bacterial small subunit ribosomal RNA", at positions 339 to 795 of the family's 1533-position model. The record is from RNAcentral. Lineage: Bacteria; Pseudomonadati; Pseudomonadota; Gammaproteobacteria; Oceanospirillales; Halomonadaceae.
CUACGGGUGGCAGCAGUGGGGAAUAUUGGACAAUGGGCGAAAGCCUGAUCCAGCCAUGCCGCGUGUGUGAAGAAGGCCUUCGGGUUGUAAAGCACUUUCAGUGGGGAAGAAAGCCUUGGGGCUAAUACCCUCGAGGAAGGACAUCACCCACAGAAGAAGCACCGGCUAACUCCGUGCCAGCAGCCGCGGUAAUACGGAGGGUGCGAGCGUUAAUCGGAAUUACUGGGCGUAAAGCGCGCGUAGGCGGUCUGAUAAGCCGGUUGUGAAAGCCCCGGGCUCAACCUGGGAACGGCAUCCGGAACUGUCAGGCUAGAGUGCAGGAGAGGAAGGUAGAAUUCCCGGUGUAGCGGUGAAAUGCGUAGAGAUCGGGAGGAAUACCAGUGGCGAAGGCGGCCUUCUGGACUGACACUGACGCUGAGGUGCGAAAGCGUGGGUAGCAAACAGGAUUAGACACCCGAGUAGUC